AUUGAACGCUGGCGGCAUGCUUUACACAUGCAAGUCGAACGGCAGCGCGGGCUUCGGCCUGGCGGCGAGUGGCGCACGGGUGAGUAAUGCAUCGGAACGUGCCCAGUAGUGGGGGAUAGCCCGGCGAAAGCCGGAUUAAUACCGCAUACGACCUGAGGGUGAAAGCGGGGGACCGAAAGGCCUCGCGCUAUUGUAGCGGCCGAUGUCGUAUUAGCUAGUUGGUUGGGUAAAGGCUUACCAAGGCGACGAUCCGUAGCUGGUCUGUGAGGACGAACAGCCACACUGGGACUGAGACACGGCCCAGACUCCUACGGGAGGCAGCAGUGGGGAAUUUUGGACAAUGGGGGCAACCCUGAUCCAGCCAUGCCGCGUGCGGGAAGAAGGCCUUCGAGUUGUAAAGCGCUUUUGUUCGGGAAGAAAUCCUCUGGGCUAAUACCCCGGGGGGAUGACGGUACCGGAAGAAUAAGCACCGGCUAACUACGUG
RNAcentral lists this ribosomal RNA (484 nucleotides) under uncultured bacterium. Its description in RNAcentral is "partial 16S ribosomal RNA". It matches the Rfam family "Bacterial small subunit ribosomal RNA", at positions 29 to 507 of the family's 1533-position model. The record is from RNAcentral.